This 313-nucleotide unclassified non-coding RNA is filed under the name uncultured fungus. RNAcentral's name for it is "partial contains small subunit ribosomal RNA, internal transcribed spacer 1, and 5.8S ribosomal RNA". The stretch from base 1 to 73 matches the Rfam family "Eukaryotic small subunit ribosomal RNA", at positions 1759 to 1831 of the family's 1831-position model. The record is from RNAcentral. Lineage: Eukaryota; Fungi.
UCAAACUUGGUCAUUUAGAGGAAGUAAAAGUCGUAACAAGGUUUCCGUAGGUGAACCUGCGGAAGGAUCAUUCACAAUAAGAGUGUUUAUGGCACUCUUCCAAAAACAUCCAUAUCCACCUUGUGUGCAACGUAAGAAGAAAAAAAAAAUAGUGCGAGCCAUGGAUGCAAGUCCAAGUCUUGCUUCUUUUUUUUUCUUUUCCACAUACACCUUUUUAUGUUCCUAUUGUCUGAAGCUGUUAGAGAAUAACUAAUUCUUAAACAUAACUUUCAACAACGGAUCUCUUGGCUCUCGCAUCGAUGAAGAACGCAGC